GUGGAUUCCCCAGUGUUAGGUCUUGUUGCCUGUCUUCCUUGUUGUGUCUCUCUGUUUCCCUGCUCAUUUUGGAUUUUUCACCUGUUUGGAUAACCUGUUUUUGGACUCUUUAGUUUGUAUUAAACUCCAUUCAACUGUUCCUCCUCUGCCUUGCGUCCUGCGUUUGGGUCCUCCAACCUGCCUCCACACCACCCAUCGUAACAGCACUUCAUCAGAGGCAGUGAACAUGUGUGGAUUUGUGGGAGCUGAUCGCCCAGCGAGGCUACACACCUGUUGCCAAUCCUCAUCAAAGCCUGGCCUUAAGAUGUGGGGCUCCCUGAGACUCAUCGUCAGAUUACUCCUAGUCAUCGCAUGGUUGAGUACUUCAGGCCUGUUUAGUUACUUGAGCAUUGAGUUUGUUUCUAGUGUGUUCUCUCCCUGGACCUGGAUGAAUGUUCUUUUGUCUUUCUCCUUUUUCAAGUUACUGCAUCCGGUGUGUCUUUUUCCUGCUUGGAGGAUAUUUAGGAGUGCCCGUGCUCACAUCUCACCUACUACCACUGUACUAAAAGUUCCUCAGUUCUUUGUAAAAAAAACUCUUUAACUGGC
Molecule: long non-coding RNA, 585 nt
Organism: Micropterus salmoides (largemouth bass)
Lineage: Eukaryota; Metazoa; Chordata; Actinopteri; Centrarchiformes; Centrarchidae
Exons: 2
Source: RefSeq, a predicted model, not a curated record